AUUCCGGUUGAUCCUGCCGGAGGUCAUUGCUAUCGGGGUCCGAUUUAGCCAUGCUAGUCGCGCGGGUUAGACCCGCGGCGUAUAGCUCAGUAACACGUGGCCAAACUACCCUACAGACGGGAACAACCUCGGGAAACUGAGGCUAACUCCCGAUACGCGUCGACUGUUUGAAUACACCGACGCUCAAACGCUCCGGCGCUGUAGGAUGUGGCUGCGGCCGAUUAGGUAGACGGUGGGGUAACGGCCCACCGUGCCAAUAAUCGGUACGGGUUGUGAGAGCAAGAGCCCGGAGACGGAAUCUGAGACAAGAUUCCGGGCCCUACGGGGCGCAGCAGGCGCGAAACCUUUACACUGCACGCCAGUGCGAUAAGGGGACCCCGAGUGAAAGGGCAUAUCGCCCUUUCUUUUCUGAACCGUAGGGAGGUUCAGGAACAAGAGCUGGGCAAGACCGGUGCCAGCCGCCGCGGUAAUACCGGCAGCUCGAGUGAUGACCGAUCUUAUUGGGCCUAAAGCGUCCGUAGCUGGCCGCGCAAGUCCGUCGGGAAAUCCACCCGCUUAACGGGUGGGCGUCCGGCGGAAACUGCACGGCUUGGGACAGGAAGGCUCGAGGGGUACGUUCGGGGUAGGAGUGAAAUCCCGUAAUCCUGAACGGACCGCCGAUGGCGAAAGCACCUCGAGAGGACUGAUCCGACAGUGAGGGACGAAAGCUGGGGUCUCGAACCGGAUUAGAUACCCGGGUAGUCCCAGCCGUAAACGAUGUUCGCUAGGUGUGACACUCACUACGAGUGAGUGUUGUGCCGCAGGGAAGCCGCUAAGCGAACCGCCUGGGAAGUACGUCCGCAAGGAUGAAACUUAAAGGAAUUGGCGGGGGAGCACUACAACCGGAGGAGCCUGCGGUUUAAUUGGACUCAACGCCGGUAACCUUACCAGCCCCGACUACGGUGAUGACGGCCAGGUUGAUGACCUCGUCACGACGCCGU
RNAcentral lists this ribosomal RNA (980 nucleotides) under Halolamina sp. IARI-ABR-15. RNAcentral describes it as "bacterial SSU rRNA". It matches the Rfam family "Archaeal small subunit ribosomal RNA", at positions 1 to 980 of the family's 1478-position model. Lineage: Archaea; Methanobacteriati; Methanobacteriota; Halobacteria; Halobacteriales; Haloferacaceae. The record is from RNAcentral.